AUACGUAGGUGACAAGCGUUAUCCGGAUUUACUGGGCGUAAAGGGCGUGUAGGCGGUCUUGCAAGUCAGAAGUGAAAUUCCUGAGCUCAACUCGGGCGCUGCUUCUGAAACUGCAGGACUUGAGUGCUGGAGGGGAUAGCGGAAUUCCUAGUGGAGCGGUAAAAUGCGCAGAUAUUAGGAAGAACACCGGUGGCGAAGGCGGCUAUCUGGACAGUAACUGACGCGGAGGCUCGAAAGCUGGGGGAGCAAACAGGAUUAGAUACCCUGUUAGUCCACGCCGUAAACGAUGAAUACUAGGUGUAGGGGGUAUCGACUCCCUCUGUGCCGCAGUUAACACAAUAAGGAUUCCGCCUGGGGAGUACGGCCGCAAGGUUGAAACUUAAAGGAAUUGACGGGG
This 397-nucleotide ribosomal RNA is filed under the name uncultured bacterium. RNAcentral's name for it is "partial 16S ribosomal RNA". It matches the Rfam family "Bacterial small subunit ribosomal RNA", at positions 523 to 918 of the family's 1533-position model. The record is from RNAcentral.